GACGAACGAGGGCGGAGGGAAGCAUAGAGGCAAGUAGAAAGGUGAAGGAGGAGCUUGCUUCUCUGGAUGAGUUGCGAACGGGUGAGUAACGCGUAGGUAACCUGCCUGGUAGCGGGGGAUAACUAUUGGAAACGAUAGCUAAUACCGCAUAAUAGCAGUUGUUGCAUGACAACUGUUUGAAAGGUGCAAUUGCACCACUACCAGAUGGACCUGCGUUGUAUUAGCUAGUUGGUGGGGUAACGGCUCACCAAGGCGUCGAUACAUAGCCGACCUGAGAGGGUGAUGCGCCACACUGGGACUGAGACACGGCCCAGACUCCUACGGGAGGGAGCAGUAGGGAAUCGUCGGCAAUGGACGGAAGUCUGACCGCGCAACGCCGCGUGAGUGAAGAGGGUUUUCGGAUCGUAAAUCUCUUGUUGAAGAGAAGAACGAGUGUGAGAGUGGAAAGUUCACACUGUGACGGUAUCUUACCAGAAAGGGCCUGCUCCCUACGUC
This 495-nucleotide ribosomal RNA is filed under the name uncultured bacterium. Its description in RNAcentral is "partial 16S ribosomal RNA". It matches the Rfam family "Bacterial small subunit ribosomal RNA", at positions 28 to 507 of the family's 1533-position model. The record is from RNAcentral.